UUCCCCGCCCCGGGCCACCACGACAACGUUGCACCAUCACUGCCUUCCGCACGUGAUGGCGCAACCGUUAGUACGGCCUAUUGUUCAUCAGUUAUCUCUUUGUAAGCGUGUGUAGUCGUGUGUCUAGUUUUCUGUAUAGGCUGUAGUAGAGAGUGUAUUUUGGUUGGCAAUAGAAAUAGCGGAGAGUAGUAUUCCA
Long non-coding RNA from Priapulus caudatus, 196 nucleotides. RefSeq lists it as uncharacterized. The record is from RefSeq and is a predicted model, not a curated record. The transcript has 2 exons. NCBI's taxonomy places the organism in Eukaryota, Metazoa, Priapulida, Priapulimorpha, Priapulimorphida, Priapulidae.